This 468-nucleotide ribosomal RNA is filed under the name uncultured bacterium. RNAcentral describes it as "partial 16S ribosomal RNA". It matches the Rfam family "Bacterial small subunit ribosomal RNA", at positions 28 to 507 of the family's 1533-position model. The record is from RNAcentral.
GACGAACGCUGGCGGCGUGCUUAACACAUGCAAGUCGAACGGAAAGGCCCUGCGUUUUUGGGGUGCUCGAUUGGCGAACGGGUGAGUAACACGUGAGUAACCUGCCCUUGACUUUGGGAUAACUUCAGGAAACUGGGGCUAAUACCGGAUAGGAGCUCCUGCUGCAGGGUGGGGGUUGGAAAGUUUCGGCGGUUGGGGAUGGACUCGCGGCUUAUGAGCUUGUUGGUUGGGUAGUGGCUUACCAAGGCUUGGACGGGUAGCCGGCCUGAGAGGGUGACCGGCCACAUUGGGACUGCGAUACGGCCCAGAGUCCUACGGGAGGCAGCAGUGGGGAAUAUUGCACAAUGGGCGGAAGCCUGAUGCAGAAACGCCGCGUGCGGGAUGCCGGCCUUCGGGUUGUAAAAAGCUUUCGCCUGUGACGAAGCGUGAGUGACGGUAAUGGGUAAAGAAGCACCGGCUAACUACGUG